This is a non-coding RNA of Phalacrocorax carbo (great cormorant), 3652 nucleotides long. The record is from RefSeq and is a predicted model, not a curated record. NCBI's taxonomy places the organism in Eukaryota, Metazoa, Chordata, Aves, Suliformes, Phalacrocoracidae.
UAUUUGUCCACCUUGCCUCAGCAGAUAAGCUCAGUGCACCUUGGACCCCACGGGAAGGUUGUCAAGUGCCGCACAGGGUCUCUUUUGCGACACAGGGCGCACAAGUAAUACUCAGGUUUUUAGCAAACCUAAGGGUCGCUUACACCACCAUGCCAAACUGCCGGGCGCCAGCCUACGUGCUUCGCGCACCCCUCGUUUUGCAGCACGGACUUCCACGCACCCACGAAAGGCGAGACCAGCGUCCCCGGGCGCUCCGAGCAUCCAGGUAACAAAGGAAUCUCAAAGAGUUUGAAGCCCAAACCUGGCGAAGUUUGAUGUCUUAUAUACAGUAUGAACUACCUCGAUACAGAUCCAGCUGGAUGGCAUUUGCACAUAACGUACACAGUUAAAAUUAUAAUAGACGUAUCUGUACAUACUGUCAUCUCAGCUAAGUGGGGAAAGAAGGUGAGGCUGAACAGUCCCCUUUCAUAUAGCUGUAGCAGAAAAGAGGAAAUUUAUUUCAUUUUCAGGAGGUGCAAGCCUAGUCUUACAGUGUUAUGGUCUCAUGUUGAAAAAUGUCUCUUUUAAGAAUUGGAGGGAUUUUCAGUUUUAAGCUGUCACGAGGUCUUUAUGGAGCUGUCACUGCAGCAUGGUCAUAAAUGAGGAGAAAGAAUGAAAGUGCUGCUGUAUUUGGAAAGGGAUAACCUUACCCUCCAGCUGGACACAAGUCUGUCCAGUUGUUAUCCUUACUGGUGCGGUGUAAUUGCUGUUGUUCCAUGACAGUAGUAUUGGCUCCGUGGCAAAUUUCUUCAAGUGCAGUUCAUAUGCUUAGAAAGCUGCUUAGAAAGCUGCUAGAAACAGCUGCAGGCUGGAGAGAGGUGAAGGCAUUUGCAGAUACAUACUGGGUCGGGAGGGCAGAGAUGAAGAAUUCGUAAGAUAAGCUUGGAGGGCUUUUCAGUUGGAAGACACAAAAGAUUUCAGGAGAGUUCCUAAUAUCACGGUAGUUAGCCUAGAUAGAUAGAUAGAUAGAUGCUCAGUUACACUUCUCCUGUUUAAAUUGUGAACAUUCUGUACAUAUGCUACAGUUCAAAAUGCAUACUGUGUGUAUGUUUCGUACUGCCAAUAUUGUAAGAUGAUAUAGAUCAUAUUUUUUUGUCUUAUGAAAAUGCAGAAGACUCAAAAUAAACUUCGAACAGUAUAUACUGCAAUCUGUACUGUAUGUUAAACAUCACAGUGUGAUUUUGCUAUAUGCAGCACAUGGACAAAUGCCUGUUCUACUGGGUAGCUUUCAUGUGCACAAGGAUUUAAACUCCCAGGCUUAGACAAGAGCAGAUUCUCCAUCACUGAAACACCAGUGAGGUAUGUGUUAUAAGCGACGGCAGGAACAAGGCUUGUUUUUCCACUCACCCAGCGCUACUCAUUCUAAGGCUGUUUUCAACAGCUUUGCUCUGCUGAAAUUGCUGCUGUUGCAGUACUGCAAGUCCAUUCUUGCCUUCAGUUUAAAUGUGCAUGAAGUAUCUCCGUCAAAAAAAUUCUAUGUAUUUUUGUGAACAAUGCUAAGGAAAAAUACCCGUGGUAACAUUUUUAGUGAUUUUGAGAAACAGCAGUGGCAUCAGACUUUGAAACGGGGUCAACAAUUUAACCUCUGUCUCAAAGAUAAUCUGUCCAAAUUUAUUUAGGUUAUAAGCCCCACAAGAAGAGAGGUUUUGUAUACUCUAGUGACCCGCUGGACCUUUGGAGCUUAAUUCCAUGAAGAUGCCACUGGAACUGGGUCUGCUUCCAGCUCUUAGCUCAGCAGCUGUUUUCUGUGAAAGUGAAGCUCUGAGCUAAUAGAGAUCAGGCUGAAUUCAGGGCACCGAAACUAAAAGCCUUUUUGUUCACUGCUCUCCGUCUCCCUUCCUGCUGGAAUACAGGCAAAGGGGAAGUGCAGUGAUUUAAGCAUAGGACGAAAAGGCUAUAGACCUCUCAAAUCUCACUUCCUAGAUUUAAGACUAAUAGAUUUGAUUCUCACUUUGUGUUCUCUCCUUCGAGAACAGAUCCAUCUGCAUUUAAUGCUUUUGUAAUGCAGUGCUGCAGCCUCUCUCCCGUGACCUCCUGUGUCAAUCAUGGCUGAUCAGCCUGAGCUCUGAACAAGACCCCACAAUGAGAAGGGUGAGAAGUCCCAUGCAGCUGCCCCUGCACUUCAAAUGUCGUAGUCCCACUUCCCACUAUCAUGUGGACUGACAUGCCAAGCACAUACCUGUUAUGUGCACCAACACGGUGACUCGUAUUAUGUCAGGGAAAAGAGAAGCUGAGAAGUCUACAGGGGCAAGGGCCGGGGGAUUGGCUGGUAGAGAUGGGGAACUGAAUAGGCAAAGAGAUCAUGAAUGGGAGCCAGGGAAGGAAGUAGAAAAGAGGAUUAGGAACAGAUGAGUGGAAACUGGGGGUGAAUGAGCAAGAUGAAAUCUGGGAACCAAAGGAAAGGAGAGAAGAAGAGGAGAGUAAGAGUAGGAAAGAUUUUAAGGAGGCACGUGGCAGAACUGAUAUCGCCUCAGCGUAGUGAUUAAGAUGUGGAAUUGUGGAACUGGAAGUGAGUGGGAGUGACAGUAUGGGAGAGGAGAAGCCAAGAGGACUGAGGUCAAAACCACAGAGAAGGUUCCUACAGUUUGCAGGCUGGGUCUCAGUGGGAAAGAAGAAAGGGAUUUGCAUCAAAAAUUGACACUGGGAAAGCAUAAAAGUGAUGGACAAGAGGAUCAAGAGAAGAAGGUAUCAACAGAAGAAGCUACAUCUUCCUGGCUGCAGUUUUUGUCUGAGAUAGUACAGUUGCAAAGGGCCUCAAAAGACACGGUCACAUUUCUCCUUACUGCCAUAUGUGCCACAAGACAUGCAAUCCUAUGCAUUUCCCUUCUAUAAUAUCUAACAGUCAUGUGGUCACAGUGAGAACCAGUUACUUCCUAAUCCAGCAGAAAACUCAAUCACCGAAGGAGAAGAAGGAAUAGCAUGCUGCGAGAUAAGCCUUUGAUUCAACUCAUCCUGAAGCCAUACAGUCAUUAGCUUGUGCAAGGAAAUGGGCUGGCAGUCUAAGAUGUGGAGUAUGGGAAAAUGAGACAUCCUAUUCUGGGAGAUAAAUGAAAGGGGACUGUGCUACAAUGUGAAGCUUUUCAGCCCUGGUGAUACUCAGAGAAAUGCUACUAUGAUGCCACGUGGGAGAAUUUUCACAUUUUCUCUCUGACUUUUUAAUGAGAAAAUGUUAAUUAUAUAAUGUCCUGGUUUCAGCUGGGAUAGAGUUAAAUUUCUUCGUAGUAGCUAGUAUGGGGCUAUGUUUUGGAUUUUUGCUGGAAACAGUGGUGAUAAUGUGGAGAUGUUUUAGUUGUCAAGGGCUGGUCAAGGACUUUUUCAGCUCCCCAUGCUCUGCCGGGUGCACAAGAAGCUGGGAGGGGACACAGCCAGGAUUGCUGACCCCAACUGACCAAAGGGAUAUUCCAUAUCACAUGACGUCAUGCUCAGCAUAUAAAGCUGGGGGAAGAAGAAGGAGUGAUGGCGUUUGUCUUCCCAAGUAACUGUUACGCGUGAUGGAGUCCUGCUUCCCUGGAGAUGGCUGAUUCCUGCCCAUGGGAAGUAGUGAAUGAAUUCCUUGUUUUGAUUUGCUUGCAUGCAUGGCUUUUGCUUUACCUAUUAAACUGUCUUUAUCUCA